AAAGACACAAAAAUUUAACGUGGUUCGGUCAAUCGACCUACGUCCGCAAAGGAGAUGAACAAUCCACUAUAAAUAUGAGAGUACGAGAAACAACCUCAACCAAUUCACUCGGAAUACAUGGGAGGUUCACACAAGUGAUAACGUAUCAAGCUUGUGACCCACAAAUUCUCCCUCUAACCAAAACUCUCAAAGCCUAAGAGACUAACAUUUUUCCUAAAAGGAAAACCUAUUUAUAGUAAGAAAUUUAGGGCAAAUAAAACCCAACAAAUCCCCCUUUGCCUGAAUUUCUAACAAAAUAAAUUUGUCCACCUUCUUUACUUAAUCUUCAACAAUUUGUUUCUCCUCUCCAUAAUCAUCUCCUUUGCAAAGUUUAUGUCUCAACAUAGAGAACUUCUCUAAAACAAUUUCUCCAACAAAAUCUUCAUUACUGUAAAAAAAGGUUACGGCUAGAACUACACCCGUCAAGAUGAACACCUUUCCCUGACCUGGUUCAAUCAUCGAUUAUCGAACCACUGAACCAGACUCCAUCAUUGAAUCUGGCCUUGAUGCCACUUGUUAGGACCGAAAUAAGUAGGUAUAAAUGCGAAAGCUAGCAAAGCAAACCUCAAAAGAUCACGAGUAAAGAACGUGGUUCGGUCAAUCGACCUACGUCCAUAAAGAAGAUGAGCAAUCCACUAUAAGUAUGAGAGUACAAAAUAUAGAGAGAAACAACUUCAACCAAUUCUCUCGGAAUACAUGGGAGGUUCACACAAGUGAUGAUAACAUAUCAAACUUGUGACCCAUAAAAUCUUCCCCUAACCAAAACUCUCAAAGCCCCUAAGAGUGAAUGCUGAUUAAGUUAGAAGGAACAUUUCUCUAUUUAUAGGGUCCUGAACCUUUUUCCUACAAAAAAAAAGAUUAGUCAAUUUUUAGAAAUUUUUUUCCUAUAAAGAAAAUCUAUUUACGAUAAAAAAUUUAGGGCAAAUAAAAAACCUAACAGGUAAUAUAAUAAACUUGUGGGUACAAACUUUUUUAAGGCAUAACAUUUUAAAACAAAACUUGUGUCUAUAUCCUUACAUAAACUAAACGUAUGCAUCUAUAACUGCAUACAAAUUCUGAAGGAAUUAAGCGAUAUAUAACUUGUUAGGUCAAGUCAUACUUUGCAAGUUUUAUAUUUUUACUUUUCGUACUGCUGACUAGGUCACUCAAUCAACGAACUUUAAAUUAUCAAUUCUAAUAUUAUAAAUUCAAAAUAAUUUUAAGGUAAAAUUAAUAAUUCGAUACUCUAAAUUCAACACUGAUAGAUAAGGAGGAGAAAAUAGGAAUACAAUGUUGACAUGUGAACAUCAAAAAAAUCAAAAUCCCAAUAUUCCAUGAAUCCAAUUCCACUUUAAAAAUCAGUGCCAAAAAAUAUUCCAAAUAAUUCUAGAAAUUAUUGAAUUGAUAGUAACAUGUCUAUGAUGGUAAGUAUAAUGUUUCACAGCAUGUUUUUUUCCUCCUAUUUAUGUCACCUUAUUCUUCAUGUUUCUUUUUUUCUUUGAAAACCUUGUAAAGCCUAUCACAUGUCUUAUCAUGCAUGUAGAUUUGUAGAAAAUUGAAAGGUGCAAAAAGAUUACCAUGUGAAAAAAUAAACCCAAUAUUAAAAAGGAUUAAAAAUAGUUGACACUUGAAAAAAUUGUUAAUGUUUGUUAAAAUAACAAUUUUUUGAAAUAUGAAGACGUUGUGUUGUUUUGCUUGAAAGAAAUUAAAAAAUCAGAGUGAGUGAAACUUGUAAGGACGGAUAGGAAUUUCAAUUUUUAAAUUAUUUUUUUAUGAUAAACAAUGUUUUUUUAUUAGUAUUUUUUUGAAAAAGAGAGUUUUUAAAAUCUAUGAUCGAACAAAAGUUUAUUAUAAACUUAUAGACAAUUAAAUAUUGCACAAAAAAAAUUCAUUAAAUAUUGUAUAAACUUUCAAAUCAUUCACUCGACUUGCAUGUGUAACAUUAAAAUUUAGAACCUAUAAAUUUUUCUUACAUAUUGUUUUUAUCUCCAAUUAUUUUUGUUGUCAUCGUUGGCACCACAUCAAUAUUACCUUGAUUUUUUUCAAAUUGAGAUGAAUGGACCAAAAUUUUCAUAUUACAUCAUGGUAGAAUAUAAUUAUUGUUGGUUUUGUUUUGUUUAUUUGCUUUCUUCCUAAAAUGGUAAAUAGAAAGAGACCAUUCAAUUGGUGCUACACAUUGAGAGGUCUGUCUUUUUCCACUUAACAUGAUUUACUACACUUUGUGACUAUACAUAGGUAAUUAGAUAAGUUGCACAUUUAAUUAACAUAACUAAGUACUAAUUAUAUAUAAUUCUAAUGAGUUGACGUAACGUAACCACGACUGGCACAACUAGGCGGAUAUUUGCAGCGUGAACGAUAGAAUAUGAGAAAACUGAUUUAUGUACGUAAUUUUCUUUUUUAACUUGUAAUUUAUUCAUCAUUAACACUAAGACACAAUAAUUAUGGACAAACUCAUUUCACUUGACUCGGACACAAUAAAAAAAGGUUUAUGUUUGAAGACGAAAACGAAAUAUAAUAUACUCAUAGUGCAUAAAAAUUUACAAAUUUAUCUACUUCGUAACAACUUCAGAUAGGAAUGAAUUUCAGUUUGCUCCAAAUCAUACACCGCAGAUCUCAAGUUGCUUCAAAAAUUACAUUACACACUUUUUGUUUCACUUUUUUCCAUUAUCCCUUGUUACUUUAAAAAUCUCAAAAUUCCUUAUUUCUUUAAUGUAUAUGAGCUGCAUAUUAAUAUACUCGAGCUAAUUUUUAAUGUAUCCGCGCUGCAAUUAUUGUAAUAGACUUUUAACUUUUAAGAGAUUAAUUAGGGAUAAAUAGUAAUUUAUAUUAAUACUAUGGAAUUUAUGUAAUUUGCACAAAAUUUUACCCAAAUGGAUAACAUAAAGAACUGAAUUGGGUAAGAAAUUGAAUCCUAUGGGCUUUUGGUACCUCAAGGUUUAGGCUAAUUUCAAAUGAACCUUCCAAAUAAAAGGAAAAUGUUUUGGGCCUAAAUUAAAAUGUUGAGCCCAUGUUAUCAUGAGGACUGAAGUGCAACUGUAUGGAUCUUUAGGUACCAAACUUGUUAUUCUUCUAAAAAUAGCAACUUGUUCUGGUGUUUCUGCUGCUGACAUAGAAAUGCAGAAUCUACAUAACAAUAUUUACUGAGUGCAUUUCAUUUAUUAUUUCAAAAUCCUUGAAAGUUGCAAAAUUCAAACUCUACCCAACAAAAAUCCAGCUAUAAAAAACACAACUGGCAUUGACUAUCUAAACAAAGCUAUCCCUUUGUGUGUUUUAUAUCUUAACUGCACUCUAUUUAUGAUGAAAAUAGAGUGAUAGUGUUUAUAAUCGUUGACUCAAAAUAGAUUUUAAAACCUUAUUUAAUCAUUUUUCGAAAUAAAAUCAGUUACCCAUGGACUAACACAAUCAAAAGAUCAAAGAAUAUACAAACCACAUAACAAGUUAUCAAAAUCACCUAAAGCAACACAUACUUAAAUAAAAUAGAAAGCAGAACUACAGAUAUGGAUACAACAGUUAUAUGAUGAACAUUUAUGACUGCUUUACAUGGUAUUCAAUCUUAUAUUCCCUCUACUGAGAAGGGUGACUUGAGAAAAUUAAAGACGAAGGAAAAGUUGAUUUAGAAAUAUUGAUACUAACAGUGUCGACGACUCCUGAAUUAGAGAUAAAAUACUUUUGAAUUAUGUCAAGAGAAAAAAUUGACCACUUUACUUUCAUUUUGCAAGAAUGUUGAAACAGAUUUAUCUGGCUGAAGCCACAAAAAGUUGAAACAAGGUAAAUUAAUAAUUAAAGCUAAUAUUUGUCAUAGAGAAAUCUUUAUAGCUAAUCGCAAAUUUUUCUGAUUGACAUUUUUACUCUGAUACUUUCCAUGGUUUGAGUUGGAAUUUUGUUGAAAAAACUUGUCAUUGUUGGGCCCGUACUAUAUCCAAAGGUGUAACAAGUCGACAUUGAAACUGCUCCUAAGCUAAUGAUUAUUUAGGUAGAAAACGAAAUAGAACACCAAUUAUACAAAAGGAAAAAUGAGGACAUUACCUUCUUCAGAGCAGCGAGACUAGGACCAUGAAGCUUCUACUGCUCUAACAACCAGAGAAUCAUACUAGCUCUCGAUUUGUCGUCCUUUGCAUCUCUUCAUUCUUUUGUUAAUGUUUUUAUUGUAUUUUUGUUUCUAUUUCUCCCUUAUAUAGGAUGGAUUGAUUUAGGGGGAAAACGGUCGAAUUUCAAAGAGAUAAGGUUGAAGAAAGCCGUUGAAUAAAUAGUACAAUUCCUCAACGGAUUGAGAGUUGAAGCCGUCCGAUGAGGCUACGAGAUUUCGACACCUCACAAUUCUCAAACGGCUCCUUCUAUGGAAGGAUAAAGAGAGAGACGUUUGGACUGCAGCUUUUUUCCGAAUUGAUGCGACGUUUCUGGGAGAGAGGAAGAACGAGGCGCGUUGGGUUUUUUUGGCGUGAAGAAGACGAGAUGGGUCGGGUCGGGUUGUUGUUGGUUAUUGUUUGGACUUGGG
RNAcentral lists this long non-coding RNA (4513 nucleotides) under Solanum lycopersicum (tomato). Its description in RNAcentral is "long non-coding RNA (SLYC_LNC000598)". The record is from RNAcentral. Lineage: Eukaryota; Viridiplantae; Streptophyta; Magnoliopsida; Solanales; Solanaceae.